AUUGAACGCUGGCGGCAGGCCUAACACAUGCAAGUCGAGCGGAUGAAGGGAGCUUGCUCCUGGAUUCAGCGGCGGACGGGUGAGUAAUGCCUAGGAAUCUGCCUGGUAGUGGGGGAUAACGUCCGGAAACGGGCGCUAAUACCGCAUACGUCCUGAGGGUGAACGUGGGGGAUCUUCGGACCUCACGCUAUCAGCUGAGCCUAGGUCGGAUUAGCUAGUUGGUGUGGUAAAGGCCUACCAAGGCGACGAUCCGUAACUGGUCUGAGAGGAUGAUCAGUCACACUGGAACUGAGACACGGUCCAGACUCCUACGGGAGGCAGCAGUGGGGAAUAUUGGACAAUGGGCGAAAGCCUGAUCCAGCCAUGCCGCGUGUGUGAAGAAGGUCUUCGGAUUGUAAAGCACUUUAAGUUGGGAGGAAGGGAAGUAAGUUAAUACCUUGAUGUUUUGACGUUACCAACAGAAUAAGCACCGGCUAACUUCGUG
This 484-nucleotide ribosomal RNA is filed under the name uncultured bacterium. RNAcentral describes it as "partial 16S ribosomal RNA". It matches the Rfam family "Bacterial small subunit ribosomal RNA", at positions 30 to 507 of the family's 1533-position model. The record is from RNAcentral.